UUGAACGCUGGCGGCAGGCCUAACACAUGCAAGUCGCGCGGAUGAAGGGAGCUUGCUCCUGGAUUCAGCGGCGGACGGGUGAGUAAUGCCUAGGAAUCUGCCUGGUAGUGGGGGAUAACGUCCGGAAACGGGCGCUAAUACCGCAUACGUCCUGAGGGAGAAAGUGGGGGAUCUUCGGACCUCACGCUAUCAGAUGAGCCUAGGUCGGAUUAGCUAGUUGGUGGGGUAAAGGCCUACCAAGGCGACGAUCCGUAACUGGUCUGAGGGGAAGAUCAGUCACACUGGAACAGAGGAACGGUCCAGACUCCUACGGGAGGCCGCAGUGGGGAAUAUUGGACGAUGGGCGAAAGCCUGAUCCAGCCAUGCCGCGUGUGUGAAGAAGGUCUUCGGAUUGUAAAGCACUUUAAGUUGGGAGGAAGGGCAGUAAGUUAAUACCUUGCUGUUUUGACGUUACCAACAGAAUAAGCACCGGCUAACUUCGUG
RNAcentral lists this ribosomal RNA (483 nucleotides) under uncultured bacterium. RNAcentral describes it as "partial 16S ribosomal RNA". It matches the Rfam family "Bacterial small subunit ribosomal RNA", at positions 30 to 507 of the family's 1533-position model. The record is from RNAcentral.